Molecule: ribosomal RNA, 429 nt
Filed under: Chloroflexota bacterium
Lineage: Bacteria; Bacillati; Chloroflexota
Description: Chloroflexi bacterium partial 16S ribosomal RNA
Rfam family: Bacterial small subunit ribosomal RNA
Source: RNAcentral
UGGGGAAUAUUGCACAAUGGGCGCAAGCCUGAUGCAGCCAUGCCGCGUGUGUGAAGAAGGCCUUCGGGUUGUAAAGCACUUUCAGCGGGGAGGAAGGCGUUAAGGUUAAUAACCUUGGCGAUUGACGUUACCCGCAGAAGAAGCACCGGCUAACUCCGUGCCAGCAGCCUCGGUAAUACGGAGGGUGCAAGCGUUAAUCGGAAUUACUGGGCGUAAAGCGCACGCAGGCGGUCUGUCAAGUCGGAUGUGAAAUCCCCGGGCUCAACCUGGGAACUGCAUUCGAAACUGGCAGGCUAGAGUCUUGUAGAGGGGGGUAGAAUUCCAGGUGUAGCGGUGAAAUGCGUAGAGAUCUGGAGGAAUACCGGUGGCGAAGGCGGCCCACUAGACGAAGACUGACGCUCAGGUGCGAAAGCGUGAGGAGCAAGCAGG